Molecule: long non-coding RNA, 375 nt
Filed under: Nicotiana benthamiana
Lineage: Eukaryota; Viridiplantae; Streptophyta; Magnoliopsida; Solanales; Solanaceae
Description: long non-coding RNA (NBEN_LNC029954)
Source: RNAcentral
UUUCUUACAGUAUCCAUCUAUUAAUGUGCUAUAGCUAACAAUGGUAGGCUUAAUGCUCUUAUCUACCAUCGAAUCAAAAAGUCUCCUUGCUCUAUCCAUUUGACCUCGCAAGCAAUAUCCAUCGAUUAUCACACUGUAGGUGAGCACAUUAGGCUCCACACCUUUUCCAUUCAUGUGUCUCAUUACCUCCCCAGCAUCUUCAACUUUCCCUUCUUUGCAUAGACCAUCUAUUUGUAGGUGACCACAUCAGGCUCCACACCUUUUCCAUUCAUGUGUCGCAUUACCUCCUCGGCAUCUUCGACUUUCCCCUCUUUGCAUAGUCCAUCUGUCAUUAUGGUGAAGGUGCGCACAUCUGGAUAAAUAUUCGAAUUUACC